UUUUUUUUUUUUUUAAAAAAAA
Molecule: unclassified non-coding RNA, 22 nt
Filed under: Escherichia coli
Lineage: Bacteria; Pseudomonadati; Pseudomonadota; Gammaproteobacteria; Enterobacterales; Enterobacteriaceae
Description: RNA from Escherichia coli (PDB 8E40, chain R)
Source: RNAcentral